UACGGAGGGUGCAAGCAUUGAUCGGAAUUACUGGGCGUAAAGGGCGCGUAGGCUGUCCACUAAGUUAGAUGUGAAAAUCUGGGGCUCAACCUCAGAACGGCAUCUAAGACUGAUGGACUAGAGCGCAGUUAGGGAAAACGGAAUUCCACGUGUAGCGGUGAAAUGCGUAGAUAUGUGGAAGAACACCGGUGGUGAAGACGGUUUUCUGGGCUGAUGCUGACGCUGAGGCGCGAGAGCUAGGGGAGCAAACAGG
Molecule: ribosomal RNA, 253 nt
Filed under: uncultured bacterium
Lineage: Bacteria
Description: partial 16S ribosomal RNA
Rfam family: Bacterial small subunit ribosomal RNA
Source: RNAcentral